Molecule: long non-coding RNA, 4220 nt
Filed under: Aquilegia coerulea
Lineage: Eukaryota; Viridiplantae; Streptophyta; Magnoliopsida; Ranunculales; Ranunculaceae
Description: long non-coding RNA (ACOE_LNC001562)
Source: RNAcentral
GUCAAAUAAUGGAAAUAUCAUAAAAACGGGACAUAAAAAUAGUGAUAAUAACGAUAACAAUUAGUGUAGGGGGUUCAAAAAUCAUGUCCUCAUACUUGGCAUAAACAGAUGGCACACGCCAGUCAACAGAUUAUAGGGGAAGCUAGCUCAUGGGGUAUGAACUAUGAAGGUUUUAAAGGCGCCGAAGUACUUUAGUCAAAGUGGGUGCCAUUAUAUCUCAACACAUUCUUUAUAGGGUUACUUGUAUAUACAAGGUCAACAAAAUGGCCUCUAAUACAAUGUAUAAAGAAGUGGAUGCACAUUAUCCCUUUCCCUUCUAAAUCUGCAUCCUCUCUUCGGCGCCUUUUCUUCCUUCAGAUCAUGUUCUAAUCAUCCCCCGUGGGAUUUUUCUUGCAAGCAUUUAUCUGGCGUUCCCAAAAGGACUUCUUUAGUCAGAAAUAAGGAUUGGAAACAGAAAAAUAAGAAAACAAUAAAUAAUAUUUGAGUAAAGUUAAGUAACAAAUAAUGUGAAUAAAACAAAUAAAGUUAAUCUAGUUAUUAAAGAGACAUAAUUAUAUAUUAUAACGAUGGCAUAACACAGUCAACAACACAUUACUAAGGAAGCUAGAACACGUGGUCUACAGGUUUAAAAUGUGCUGAAGUAAUUAUCAAAUUCCCAAGGACUAUUUCUUUAUGCUCCCCCAAAGCCUAUACAAGGUCUGGAAAUUAGGCCAGAUAACAAUGUCAAUUGUCAACUAUACAAGGCCUAACAGUUUGAUUAAGUGGAUAUCUAUAAUCCCUUCCACUUUCGAGCAUGCAUUGUGCAUUCUUGAUGUCUUCAACACCUUUUAUCCUUACAGGUCGUGUUCUAAUUCAUACCACAAUAAUGUGUUGUAUAUGUAAGCCUUUACCUAGUGUUUCCAAAAGUACAUUUACCUAGUAUAUCUUACAAAAGAAAUCCAAAAUCCAAAAUAAAAUAAAAUAAAAAAAAAAAUUAAGCACAAAUAAAGUCAACCAUAUGCAACGGACAACAAGUGAGCAAUAACAAAGAAAGAAAGAUAGAGAAGAGUUACCAUAAUAAGUUUGAUGACUCCCAGCAAACAGUCAACACAUUACUAAGGAAGCUGGAUCACAUGGUCUACAGGUUUCAAAGGCGCUAAAGUAUCUACUACCCAAGCACUAUUUCUGAAGUCUCCAUUCACCAUUCCCAGACUAUGCACACAAGGUCUGACAAUUAGGCCAGAUAACAACAAUGUCAAAUAUAAAUGGCCUAAUAGUCAACAAGUGGAUAUCUAUGACCCUUCUAAUUUUGAGCCUGCAUUCUCACUUCGGCGCCUUUUCUUCCUGCAGGCCCUAUUCUAAUUCAUGCCCCAGCAAUGUGUGUGCUGUAUCCACAAAGCCUUUAUCUAGCGUUACCCGAUUUUAGUCACAAAUAAUGAUUACAAAGAAUAAUAAGAAUAAUACAAAUAAGAAAACAAAAACAUAUUGAUGUAUAUCUUAUAAGAUAAUAAGAAACACUAAACUUCAAAGUGAAAAACACAUUAAGCAUGCAUAAAACAAAUAAAAUCAAUGAUAUGCAAAAAAUAAAAUAAAAAAUAAAAUCAAAAGAACAAGUAACUACAAAAAUAGACUAACUACAACAACAAGUCUGACAGUUCUAAAGCAUGUCCUUAUACGUGGCAUAACAUAUGGCACUUGUGCCAGUUAACACAUUAUUAAGGAUGCUAGAUCACAUAGUCUACAGAGGUUUCAAAGCUGCAAAGUAAUUAUCUAUUCCCAAGCACUAUUUUGUAGGCUCCAUUCCCAAGCUAUCUAUACAAAGGAAAUAAAUUAAACUAGAUAGCUAUACAAGGGAAAGAAAUUAAACCAGAUAGCAAUGUCAUAGAUAAAUGAUCUAAUAGUUUUAAUAAGUGGAUAUCUAUGAUCGAUAUGAUCCCCUUCGACUUUCAAGCAUGCAUUCUCUACAACGCCUUUUCUUCCUGCAGUUCGUGUUCUAAUUCAUACCCCAACCAUGUGUGCGACUGUGUGUUUGUUUGUAUACAAGCCUUUAUCUAGCGUUCCCAAAAGGACAAUUAUAGUCAGAAAUAAGGAUUACAAAAGAAAAAUAAGAAUGCAAAUAAGAAAAUAAUAAAUAUCAGUGUAUGCAUCUAAACAUUGAAUUACACAAGAAUAAAGCAAAUUAAAUCAAUCAUAUACAAAGAAUAUAGAGAAAUGAUUAAUGUUAAAAGCAGACAAAAUUAUUUAUAAAGCGAGAAUUACUAUAAAAUCUGACGGCGCAUGGCACUUGGCCCAGUCAACACAUUACUAAGGAAGCUAGAUCAUGUGGCCUACAGGUUUCAAAUGCGCUGAAGUAGUUAUCUAGUGCUUGCACUAUUUGUUUUGGCUCCAUUCCCAUCUAUGCCAGAUCAGUAAUAAGUGGAUAUCUAUGAUCCCUUCCACUUACGAACCCUUCUUUCUAUCAGCGCCUUUUAUUUCCUGCAGGUAUUGUUCUAAUUCAUUCCCCCAACAAUGUGUGUGACUGUGCGUUUGUGUUUGCAAGCCUUUAUCCGAAAGGACAAUUACAGUCAGAGAUAAGGAUAGCAAAAGAAAAAUACGAACACAAAUAAGAAAAUAAUCAAAAUCGAUGCAUAUCCUAUAAAAAAUGAAUUAAGCAUGUAUGAAGCAAAUAAAGCCAAUCGCAUGCAAAGAAUAAGUGUUUAAUUAUAAAAGAAGUCACAGAAGUAUUUAUUAUAGGGAUAAUUACUAUAACGUCUGACAUCAUGCUCUUUUACGUGGCAUGACAGAUAGCAGUCAACACAUUACUAGGGACGCUAGAACAUGUAAGCUACAGGUUUCAAAGGCGCUAAGUAGUUAUCUAGUGCCCAAGCACUAUUUCUUUUGGCUUGACUCCCAAGCUAUCUAUGCCAGGUCUAAAAUAAGUGGAUAUCUAUGAUCCCUUCCACGUACAAACCUUCAUUCUAUCUUAAGCGCCCUUUUCUUCCUGCAGAGAUUGUUCUAAUUCAUUUCCCAACAGUGUGUGUGACGUAUUGACAAGCCUUCAUCUAGUGUUCCCAAAAGGACAAUAGCAGUCGUACAUAAGCACCACAAAAAAGCAAUAAAUAAUAAUAGAUAUUUCUCAUAAAACUCCAAAAACACUGAAAAUAAACUAGGAAUGCAAAAGACCCAAAAAAAAAAAAAACUUAGCAUAGUUAGCUUUGCAUAAAGUGAUAAAACAAAAAACAAGAACAAUAUUUUUUUUUCCAGAACCCAAAGGAAUAAACGAAAACAAAGUAAGCAUGCUGAAAAUAAAUGAAUCCAAUCACAGGCAAGUAAUAUACAGACUGAAAUACUUCCCCCGACAUGUAAGCUAAAAAAAAAUUAAUACACGGGUACAAAUAUUGAAAGCCACAAAAAACAGCUACCAGUAAAUCAAAUUGACAUAAUCAACAGACACACAACCCUAAUUCAUGGCAUCCAUGAAAGUCUUAGAAAUAUGUGACAGACAUAAAAUUGGAUUAAGAGUUACCCCAAAAAAUCAAGCAUACCAACGGAUUCAGGGUUAUUAGACAACUAAAGGUCCCAUAAUUCAUAUAAAAUAAAUGGAUUGAAAGCACAAGAAUAAUGAAAUUACUACAUAAGAAAUUGUUAUUAUAUGACCAUGGAGAUAGAAUAUGUUAUAUGUGUUUACCCAAUAAUGCGCAAAACAGAUAAAUAAAGGUGCUUGCUUUCAAUUGCUAUGCAUUCAACAAGAAACAAGUAAUACACAAGUGCAGCAUAAUAAAUAUUCAAAAGUAAAACAGAUCCACAAGUAAUGAAAGCAUGUAAAUUAACAAUCGAAACAAAAUCAAAUAGAAUUAAAUUGAUUAUUGUAUACUAGCAUCGAAGUUAAAAGGAAAUAGAGGAAUUUGAAGUAAAGAGAAACCUGUUAAUAGUCAAGAUCUCCAUUAGAAGUGUUUCAAUUGAAGAAAGCUUUCCAAAUCUCUGACACAAUACAACUUGAUGAUGAAUAAUAGUAGUAAUAGUAGAGAGAGAGAGAGAGAGAGAGAGAGAGAGAGAGAGAGAGAGAGAGAGAGAGAGAGAGAGAGAGAGAGAGAGAGAAGAAGAAGAAGAAGAAGAGAUUGAACAAAUUACCUGAGAGAAGAAAGCAGCGCGACAAACGUUAAGACGACAACGGCUUCUUCUUCUUCUUCUUCGCUCUUUGCUUUCUCUCUUCACAAAUUUCUUUCCUUUGGUUUCGCAAGCUCUUUAUAUAUAUAGUUUUG